Molecule: ribosomal RNA, 254 nt
Filed under: uncultured bacterium
Lineage: Bacteria
Description: partial 16S ribosomal RNA
Rfam family: Bacterial small subunit ribosomal RNA
Source: RNAcentral
UACGUAGGGACCAAGCGUUGUUCGGAUUUACUGGGCGUAAAGGGCGCGUAGGCGGCAAUUCAAGUCAUCUGUGAAAUCUCCGGGCUUAACCCGGAACGGUCAGAUGAUACUGCUUUGCUAGAGUGCGGAAGGGGCAAUCGGAAUUCUCGGUGUAGCGGUGAAAUGCGUAGAUAUCGAGAGGAACACCUGAGGUGAAGACGGGUUGCUGGGCCGACACUGACGCUGAGUGCGCGAAAGCCAGGGGAGCGAACGGG